ACAACCCGCCGAAAGGCGGGCUAAACCCGCGUACAUGCCACCGGGGCAUCCCGGAGGCAGGAAAGGCUUCGGCCGGACAGGGAUGGGCAUGCGGCGCAUUAGGCAGUAGGCGGGGUAACGGCCCACCUAACCGACGAUGCGUAGGGGUUCUGAGAGGAAGGUCCCCCACACUGGUACUGAGACACGGACCAGACUCCUACGGGAGGCAGCAGUGAGGAAUAUUGGUCAAUGGUCGGGAGACUGAACCAGCCAAGCCGCGUGAGGGAGGAAGGUACAGAGUAUCGUAAACCUCUUUUGUCAGGGAACAAAGACUGGGACGCGUCCCCGGAUGAGUGUACCUGAAGAAAAAGCAUCGGCUAACUCCGUGCCAGCAGCCGCGGUAAUACGGAGGAUGCGAGCGUUAUCCGGAUUUAUUGGGUUUAAAGGGUGCGCAGGCGGUCUGUUAAGUCAGCGGUCAAAGCCCGGGGCUCAACCCCGGCCCGCCGUUGAAACUGGCAGUCUCGAGUUGGAGAGAAGUAUGCGGAAUGCGCGGUGUAGCGGUGAAAUGCAUAGAUAUCGCGCAGAACUCCGAUUGCGAAGGCAGCAUGCCGGCUCCACACUGACGCUGAGGCACGAAAGCGUGGGUAUCGAACAGGAUUAGAUACCCUGGUAGUCCACGCAGUAAACGAUGAAUGCUGGCUGUCCGGGGGGACUGACCCCUGGGUG
RNAcentral lists this ribosomal RNA (705 nucleotides) under uncultured bacterium. Its description in RNAcentral is "bacterial SSU rRNA". It matches the Rfam family "Bacterial small subunit ribosomal RNA", at positions 143 to 845 of the family's 1533-position model. The record is from RNAcentral.